RNAcentral lists this ribosomal RNA (253 nucleotides) under uncultured bacterium. Its description in RNAcentral is "partial 16S ribosomal RNA". It matches the Rfam family "Bacterial small subunit ribosomal RNA", at positions 524 to 776 of the family's 1533-position model. The record is from RNAcentral.
UACGUAGGGCGCAAGCGUUGUCCGGAAUUAUUGGGCGUAAAGAGCUCGUAGGCGGUUUGUCACGUCGGGAGUGAAAACUCAGGGCUUAACCCUGAGCCUGCUUCCGAUACGGGCAGACUAGAGGUAUGCAGGGGAGAACGGAAUUCCUGGUGUAGCGGUGAAAUGCGCAGAUAUCAGGAGGAACACCGGUGGCGAAGGCAGAUCUCUGGGCCGUAACUGACGCUGAGGAGCGAAAGCAUGGGGAGCGAACAGG